Salvia hispanica is the source of this 914-nucleotide non-coding RNA. Lineage: Eukaryota; Viridiplantae; Streptophyta; Magnoliopsida; Lamiales; Lamiaceae. The record is from RefSeq and is a predicted model, not a curated record.
UUCUCUCUCAACUCACUUCAUCCCUAAAAAAAAGAGAAUCCGAUUGUCACCACCACCACCACCGGACACCGCCUCUCCUCCCUCUCUCGGCCUUACUGCCUCCCAAUUGAAAGAUCCCAAAAUCAGCAAAACCCUCAAAUCGGAACCCUAAAUCUCCCGUCGCCCUCCUCUCGGCUCUCACCGCCAAAUCGACUACUAGUGCCAUCUCCCCUUCGCACACAUGCACCGCUGCUGCUGUUCGCCGACGGGGUCAGGGACACCACCACCCGUUCCCUGUCGGGUCCGGCAGUUCACCCCGAAACAACCUCGAUUCCACCCGAACCAGCCCCGAGGUGGAUGGGAGAAUUAACAACAGGUUCUUGGAAGAUAUCCUCCUUUCAAAAUUGCAGGACCAGAUGGAGAAUUAACAGCAGCGUCGCUGGUGUCUCGUUGAUAUUGCUUGCUAUAAACCCAACAAUGAUUACGAGUUGAAAAUGUAAGGUUGAGAAUUUGUACCCACUGAAGAGAGUGAAGCUGGUGGUAUGUGUACUAUGAAGUCUUUGUUUGGCAUUUGAACAAUAUUUCUGGCGAAUGUUGUCAAUUCCCCUCGUAGCACAGGAUCGGGCCAAUUCAAGCACUGGGCAGCCUUGCUAGGGAUCCGAGAGCCCAUUUUUCAGCCAGUUGUCGCUUUUUAUUGCCUGUACUACCGCAGGUUUAUGAUACUAUCCCACAUCGGUUUCACACAAAAGUGUGGAAUAGCAUAUAAUAGGGAGUCAACCCUUUAACUUUGACCAUGGUUUUGGGUUAAGUUAGGGCUUCCUAUCUUAUAUGCUUAUCAAUUUGGUGCGGUGAACGUGGAUCCGGAUGUCCUACUGAAAGGGGCUACCCGUAGGUGUGACCAAAGGGGUGCCACCGAAAAAUGUGGGCCGGAAGGA